UACGUAGGGGGCAAGCGUUGUCCGGAAUCAUUGGGCGGAAAGAGCGUGUAGGCGGCCCGAUAAGUCCGCUGUGAAAGUCCAGGGCUCAACCCUGGAAUGCCAGUGGAAACUGUCGGGCUGGAGUCCGGAAGAGGCGAGUGGAAUUCCUGGUGUAGCGGUGAAAUGCGCAGAUAUCAGGAGGAACACCAAUGGCGAAGGCAGCUCGCUGGGACGGUACUGACGCUGAGACGCGAAAGCGUGGGGAGCAAACAGG
This 253-nucleotide ribosomal RNA is filed under the name uncultured bacterium. RNAcentral describes it as "partial 16S ribosomal RNA". It matches the Rfam family "Bacterial small subunit ribosomal RNA", at positions 524 to 776 of the family's 1533-position model. The record is from RNAcentral.